Long non-coding RNA from Esox lucius (northern pike), 469 nucleotides. NCBI's taxonomy places the organism in Eukaryota, Metazoa, Chordata, Actinopteri, Esociformes, Esocidae. The record is from Ensembl.
CCGCUGCUGGCAGGUAGGAGUCGAUGGCUGCCGCUCCAAGGCAGCAGGGGGCGCUGGCUGCCGCUGCUGGCAGGUAGGAGGCGCUGGCUGCCGCUGCUGGCAGGUAGGAGGCGCGGGCUGCCGCUGCUGGCAGGUAGGAGGCGCGGGCUGCCGCUGCUGGCAGGUAGGAGUCGAUGGCUGCCGCUCCAAGGCAGCAGGGGGCGCUGACUGCCGCUGCUGGCAGGUAGGAGUCGCUGGCUGCCGCUGCUGGCAGGUAGGAGGCACGGGCUGCCGCUGCUGGCAGGUAGGAGGCACGGGCUGCCGCUCCAAGGCAGCAGGGGGAGCUGACUGCCGCUGCUGGCAGGUAGGAGGCGCUGGCUGCAGCUCCCGGGCAGCAGGGGGCGCUGGCUGCCGCUCCCGGCCAGCAGGGAACAGUCGGCGCCGUGGCGCAGGCACCGGACGUAGAGGGGACGCCGUCAGGACUUCCCUC